Eriocheir sinensis (Chinese mitten crab) is the source of this 814-nucleotide long non-coding RNA. RefSeq lists it as uncharacterized. The record is from RefSeq and is a predicted model, not a curated record. The transcript is spliced from 5 exons. Lineage: Eukaryota; Metazoa; Arthropoda; Malacostraca; Decapoda; Varunidae.
UCCUUUUCUUUGGUGUUCCCAUCGCGUGGAUUGUCUACGACAGUAUAACGAGCACCACAAGCCCGGGUUUGUUUAGAGUUUGCUCUCCUAGGCAGAUUGCCUACCACGGCUGACGACCUCCACCUGCCCGGGUUUAUUGUUCGGAGUUUGCUCUCCUAGGUGAACUGCCUACCACGGCUGACGACCUCCACCUGGCCGGGUUUAUUGUUCGGAGUUUGCUCUCCUAGGUGAACUGCCUACCACGGCUGACGACCUCCACCUGCCCGGGUUUGUUGUUCGGAGUUUGCUCUCCUAGGUGAAUUGCCUACCACGGCUAACGAGCCCCACCUGCCCGGGUUUGUUUAGAGUUUGCUCUCCUAGGUGAACUGCCUACCACGGCUAACGAGCCUCACCUGCCCGGGUUUGUUUAGAGUUUGCUCUCCUAGGUGAAUUACCUCCCACGGCUAACGACCUCCACCUGCCCGGGUUUGUUUAGAGUUUGCUCUCCUAGGUGAAUUACCUCCCACGGCUAACGACCUCCACCUGCCCGGGUUUGUUUAGAGUUUGCUCUCCUAGGUGAACUGCCUACCACGGCUAACGAGCCUCACCUGCCCGGGUUUGUUUAGAGUUUGCUCUCCUAGGUGAAUUGCCUCCCACGGCUAACGACCUCCACCUGCCCGGGUUUAUUGUUCGGAGUUUGCUCUCCUAGGUGAAUUGCCUCCCACGGCUAACGAGCCUCACCUGCCCGGGUUUGUUUAGAGUUUGCUCUCCUAGGCAGAUUGCCUACCACGGCUAACGAGCUCCACCUGCCCGGGUUUAUUGUUCGGAGUUUGCU